UACGUAGGGUGCGAGCGUUGUCCGGAAUUAUUGGGCGUAAAGAGCUCGUAGGCGGUCUGUCGCGUCGAUCGUGAAAACUUGGGGCUUAACCCUGAGCUUGCGGUCGAUACGGGCAUGACUGGAGUUCGGCAGGGGAGACUGGAAUUCCUGGUGUAGCGGUGAAAUGCGCAGAUAUCAGGAGGAACACCGGUGGCGAAGGCGGGUCUCUGGGCCUGUACUGACGCUGAGGAGCGAAAGCGUGGGGAGCGAACAGG
Molecule: ribosomal RNA, 254 nt
Filed under: uncultured bacterium
Lineage: Bacteria
Description: partial 16S ribosomal RNA
Rfam family: Bacterial small subunit ribosomal RNA
Source: RNAcentral